GGAAGUUUAGCGGCAAAAAACAUCAGACGCUGUCGAGUCCUUCGAGGGAAUCUUCCCACAGCCCCUCUCUCGUUCCUCUGGUUGUUGUUUUUUUUAGACGUUCCUCAUGCUGAACGGGCCCGAGGGUUCUCGUCUGGAUGGUGGGGUUCGUGUCUUUUGUUGAUCGGGAUCAGCUUCUCAGUUAAAAGGUUUCCUUUUGGCCUGCGCUAACCAGCCUGAGACUCACCCAUCCGGGUCUCUCUCUCUCCCGGCUGAUUCCACUGGCAAGGUCCUUUAGACCUAAUGGAAAGAGCAAGAUAAGGAUCCGCUGAGACCAGGAGAACGGCCGUCCAGAUUGUGGCGAGGGAAAUUAAACCAAUUGAGGAAGUUGCUAUUUUUCAGGGACCAACAUUGAGCAAGUUCUAUCUACAUUCACAGCGGGUCCCCAUCCAUGGACUUCGCCAUGCUACUUCUACAGUAGCCCUAAACGGACAAACUUCUCUACAGAGGGCAUUUCGCAAAUAUGGUAUCUCCUUCGGAAAAGAAAGGAAAACAUGAACACAACAUAGUUCUGUAUCAGCCACCGUAGUGCUAAAAAAGGAAGGGGUGAAGUGAGCCGUUGAUCUCACCACUAGAUGCUGCAAAAUUUGAUACACUGGACAUUUAAGGUAGUAGAAGACGUCCACAUUAAUCGCCACAUCAUGCAGUUGUUAGAGACUAGCCAAACACUGAGUGCGUUUGAUGCACAGUCUUACCCCGAUUAGGCUUAAGAAGCAGAUAACUUGUAAGGUCAUGUAAAUGCGUAAAACGUUUUUCUCUCAUUUUUUCUUUAUGUGCACAUGUCUGACGCCGCAAUGGUACAAUUCCCAAACGGACGUAACAGUAAAAUAAUGUAUAAAAGUCUGCUCUCGAAUCAUGCAGUUAAUAUAGAAAUGGCAAAAUUAAAUACUAUUGUUGUAUGUGCAGGUACUGCGGACAUGAGAAGAGAUAUAAAAACACAGCUUCUGUUUUCCCGCUGCCUUUUUUUUAUUACUAGUCGGACUAUCGAUGGUGAGGUCACUGCAUGUAAGAAACCUGACAAGUCUCAAAUUUCCAUCUAAAUGCGGUUUGCAUAGCCCGUUCAUCGAUAUGUAAACACGUAAAAAACUUUUUAUAUAACCGUUUAUUUUGUUAUAUUGAUACAGUAUGCAUGUAACCACGUGAAAAUGAUAAGAUGAUUUUUUAUAGAUAUCAUUUUAUUUUGUGCAUGUAAACGUACUCACUUUAGUGUUUGUCUGUGUGUGUUUUUACAUUACAAGUGUUGCUAUCCAACAACAAUGCAGCUGUGUGUGUGUGAGUGAGGAUAACAGUUUUAAGAUUAGGCAUCGGUCUGUGUGUGUGUCAGUGUGAGUCAUGUAAGUGCUUUCUUUAAGCAGUCUUAAAAGCUGUUUUCAAUCAAGCAAAUGAUUCCUCUUUUGCAAUAUGUUAAUGCAGGACUGAUUUAUCCGUGUUGUAAAAGUUAAUUACCAUAUG
Long non-coding RNA from Triplophysa dalaica, 1491 nucleotides. RefSeq lists it as uncharacterized. Lineage: Eukaryota; Metazoa; Chordata; Actinopteri; Cypriniformes; Nemacheilidae. The transcript has 3 exons. The record is from RefSeq and is a predicted model, not a curated record.